CCUACGGGCGGCAGCAGUAGGGAAUAUUGCUCAAUGGGGGAAACCCUGAAGCAGCAACGCCGCGUGAAGGAUGAAGGUUUUCGGUUUGUAAACUCCUUUUGUUAGAGAAGAUAAUGUCAGUAUAUGACGAAUAGACAGUAGCUAACUACGUGCCAGCAGCCACGGUAAUACGAAGGGUGCAAGCGUUACUCGGAAUGACUGGGCGUACCGAGCGCGUAGGCGGGAUAGCAAGUCAGAUGUGAAAUCCUAUGGCUUAACCAUAGAACUGCAUUUGAAACUGUUAUUCUAGAGUAUGGGAGAGGUAGGUGGAAUUCUUGGUGUAGGGGUGAAAUCCGUAGAGAUCAAGAGGAAUACUGAUUGCGAAGGCGACCUGCUAGAACAUAACUGACGUUGAGGCGCGAAAGCGUGGGGAGCAAACAGGAUUAGAUACCCGAGUAGUC
This 440-nucleotide ribosomal RNA is filed under the name uncultured bacterium. RNAcentral describes it as "partial 16S ribosomal RNA". It matches the Rfam family "Bacterial small subunit ribosomal RNA", at positions 338 to 795 of the family's 1533-position model. The record is from RNAcentral.